Molecule: long non-coding RNA, 882 nt
Organism: Pezoporus occidentalis (night parrot)
Lineage: Eukaryota; Metazoa; Chordata; Aves; Psittaciformes; Psittacidae
Exons: 3
Source: RefSeq, a predicted model, not a curated record
CAAUAAUAGCCAUUAGUGGGAAAGACUGGAAACAAAUAUCUUAAUAUGAGACAGCGUAGUCAUCUUGCUGUUUAUGUGAAGCUUCUUGGAGGAAUGAAAGCUACCCAGGAGAGAAAUUAUAAGAGCCUUGGUCACAGCACUGCAAGCAGUAGUGGCUUCCACACAGGUGCUGUCCUUUCAAUGAGGACUGCAGUUUGGUACGUGGUUGGUGUGCAGAAGUUGCAGCCUUGCAUCUUCACUGCUACUUUGGAAGAGCCUGUCCCUUCAUAUCUGUAGUUCUUUACACAUAGUUGAAUGGACAAAUAAAUUCUCUUGAGUUCCCCUCAUAAUCCUGUGCCAUGAUAUGGUUAAGCAGAAUUUAAUGAUAAAAUAUGUGCUGAACUGGGCUUCAGCAUGAGGGGGAAUUCCUGCCUGGCCCUUUUCAAAUUAGAAGAGCAUCUAUGUUUGAUUUAUUUGGCCUUUUGUGUUUAUUUUUUUUAGGUAUCGGGGUAUUUUUAAAGUAUUCUCAAAUACACUUAACUCUUCUAGAUCCACAUUUUGCAUAUGUGUCAUAAAGACAGCCUAUUUAUCUUCUGCCCCUGUUGAUAACAAAUAACCUCUCACUUUACAAAGUCUGUUUCUGAGGAACAUUUUUACCCCUUUCACUCUGAUUAAAUGGGAAUAAAAUGCUUGUAUAAUUCUCCCUGGGUAGAAAACAGGGAAAACUGUGGUCUUAAAACAAAAUUGAUGCCUACACCAAUCUUCUCUCUCCUGAUAUUUCCUGCUCUCCCAUCUCAAUUUGUAAAUUAAAAAUUCAAAUACCCGGAUGUAUAUAUAUAGCAUUACAAUAUCUUUAAACUUAUGAAAACAAAACCCAAACCACUGUUUUGUUGGACUUUGAUG